RNAcentral lists this ribosomal RNA (490 nucleotides) under uncultured bacterium. RNAcentral describes it as "partial 16S ribosomal RNA". It matches the Rfam family "Bacterial small subunit ribosomal RNA", at positions 30 to 507 of the family's 1533-position model. The record is from RNAcentral.
AUUGAACGCUGGCGGCAGGCCUAACACAUGCAAGUCGAACGGUAACAGGGAUCAGCUUGCUGAUUCGCUGACGAGUGGCGGACGGGUGAGUAAUGUCUGGGAAACUGCCUGAUGGAGGGGGAUAACUACUGGAAACGGUAGCUAAUACCGCAUAACGUCGCAAGACCAAAGAGGGGGACCUUCGGGCCUCUUGCCAUCGGAUGUGCCCAGAUGGGAUUAGCUAGUAGGUGGGGUAACGGCCCACCUAGGCGACGAUCCCUAGCUGGUCUGAGAGGAUGACCAGCCACACUGGAACUGAGACACGGUCCAGACUCCUACGGGAGGCAGCAGUGGGGAAUAUUGCACAAUGGGCGCAAGCCUGAUGCAGCCAUGCCGCGUGUAUGAAGAAGGCCUUCGGGUUGUAAAGUACUUUCAGCGGGGAGGAAGGGAGUAAAGUUAAUACCUUUGCUCAUUGACGUUACCCGCAGAAGAAGCACCGGCUAACUCCGUG